CCUACGGGUGGCAGCAGUGAGGAAUAUUGGUCAAUGGACGAGAGUCUGAACCAGCCAAGUAGCGUGAAGGAUGACUGCCCUAUGGGUUGUAAACUUCUUUUAUAUGGGAAUAAAAUGUUCCACGUGUGGGAUUUUGUAUGUACCAUAUGAAUAAGGAUCGGCUAACUCCGUGCCAGCAGCCGCGGUAAUACGGAGGAUCCGAGCGUUAUCCGGAUUUAUUGGGUUUAAAGGGAGCGUAGGUGGAUUGUUAAGUCAGUUGUGAAAGUUUGGGGCUCAACCGUAAAAUUGCAGUUGAGACUGGCAGGCUUGAGUACAGUAGAGGUGGGCAGAAUUCGUGGUGUAGCGGUGAAAUGCUUAGAGAUCACGAAGAACUCCGAUGGCGAAGGCAGCUCACUGGACUACAACUGACACUGAGGUUCGAAAGUGUGGGUAUCAAACAGGAUUAGAUACCCUUGUAGUC
This 460-nucleotide ribosomal RNA is filed under the name uncultured bacterium. Its description in RNAcentral is "partial 16S ribosomal RNA". It matches the Rfam family "Bacterial small subunit ribosomal RNA", at positions 338 to 795 of the family's 1533-position model. The record is from RNAcentral.